CUCUUUCAAAUUAUUUCCUUAGCGUUUUUUCCACAAUAUGAUAAGGAUAUUGUUCCACAAUUUUAGUUUUAUCAUUCUCCGAGAGGUGCAUAUCCUUACAUAAUUCAUAUGAAUCCUCUGGUCACUAUGUGGUUGUUCUGGCUGAGAUAGAGAAAUUAUCUGGGAUUAUCCCAUUGUAUCUCCAAGCUUGUAAUUUCUACAAAAAAAAAAGGCAUUGAUCUUCAUAACCAUCUAAGAUAGAAAGAUAAAAAAUUUUCAAAUCUUUUUGACGUGUUACUUGCAGAUGAAUUGCUUCAACAAUCAAGUGGAAUCUUGGACUAUGGUUUGUAUAUAGUAACAUACGCAGAGUGUCUUUAUUAUGGUAAAAGAGUUCCUUUGAUUGAGUUCAACCCCAACAUACUUUGUACACGUUAUGCUGCUCUAUUGUGGGAUUAUGGCAUGAGAAAACAAGAAGCAAGUGCUCAUAGCGAUGUCGAAGAACCCUUGAGGCUUGGCAGGCAUAGCCGAAUAAAUAGUGUCACUGAAGUUUUAGAAAUAUGAUGAUUGUUGAAUUUAUUACAUUGGAUAAUC
Long non-coding RNA from Capsicum annuum, 570 nucleotides. RefSeq lists it as uncharacterized. Lineage: Eukaryota; Viridiplantae; Streptophyta; Magnoliopsida; Solanales; Solanaceae. The record is from RefSeq and is a predicted model, not a curated record. The transcript is spliced from 3 exons.